CAGUAGCCGCGGUAAAACGAAGGGGGCUAGCGUUGCUCGGAAUGACUGGGCGUAAAGGGCGCGUAGGCGGCUGUCACAGUCAGAUGUGAAAUUCCUGGGCUCAACCUGGGGGCUGCGCUUGAUACUUGGUUGCUUGAGUGGGGAAGAGGGUCGUGGAAUUCCCAGUGUAGAGGUGAAAUUCGUAGAUAUUGGGAAGAACACCGGUGGCGAAGGCGGCGACCUGGUCCUCGACUGACGCUGAGGCGCGAAAGCGUGGGGAGCAAACAGGAUUAGAUACCCGCGUAGUCCCUGUCUCUUAUAC
This 301-nucleotide ribosomal RNA is filed under the name uncultured bacterium. Its description in RNAcentral is "partial 16S ribosomal RNA". It matches the Rfam family "Bacterial small subunit ribosomal RNA", at positions 509 to 807 of the family's 1533-position model. The record is from RNAcentral.